This is a long non-coding RNA of Nothoprocta perdicaria, 1031 nucleotides long. RefSeq lists it as uncharacterized. Lineage: Eukaryota; Metazoa; Chordata; Aves; Tinamiformes; Tinamidae. The transcript has 3 exons. The record is from RefSeq and is a predicted model, not a curated record.
UUUAUUUGUUAUUACCCCCCCUUUUAGUAGCUUGUGGAUUGAAGCUUCUUAUUUAUUUUUUUUUAUAUUGUGUGUGUGUGUGUUUUGAAUUGCGUCUUAAAAAUUGCCCAGCUGGAGACAAGCCUUGAUUAGCGCUGGAACAAUAGCUCCAUUUUUAUUAAUAAGGGGAAGGAUUUACAAUCCUCCGGCACCUUCCUUGGAAGGUUUUCAAAAGCCUUUAUGCAAGGCAGGCACAAAUUUAAGCUUUCGCAGCCCUGCCUGCAAGGCGGUCCCCGGGUGACCUCGUUCAGCGCUGGCUCUGCUGUGCUUUGGCCGUGGUGUUGUGUUAAUGCUGCUAGCGCUCACGUGCCGGCCAGCUCCACCUGGCUCGCAGGACGGCUGAGCCUACAACCCCCAGUUUAUUUGUUUAUUUUCAAAUGCAUCUCUUUGCUGCAAAAUGCAGGGGAAAUUUCCAAUAUUUCAAACUGUCAUCUUUAUCUGAUUGUUUUUUUCCCUCCUUCCAAGGGAAAUGCAGGAUUGUUUGUGCAGCCCCCACUCAGCAGCAGAUACCUUUUGCCCGUGUCCUUGCCAGGCGUGGACACAUGGGGACCGUAGCAACAAAAAGGAAGAACCGAUCAGCUGAUUUCGWCGGUCAGUUGCACCUUGAAAGAAGAAGUCCUGGUGCCCUUUGUUCUUCUCGCCUGUGCCAGCUUUUGCUCCGAGCCCGACUGGCUGUUUCUUGUGGGAAUGCUGAGCUGGAGCCUGUGGGAUGCUAAAACAACCUGGUUUUCAACCCUUCAGGUUGUGUUUCCUUCCCUGUGGCCRUGUGAUGGAGCUGUACAAUUAAACUGGUGUGGCAAAGGGCAGCUGCCUCCCCCAAAAAAGCCUUCCACAGUUGUGCAUGCUCCCCAACUGCUGCCUAGGCAGAAACAUCCAGUGAAGUCGUCAGCGUUGUGCCGCUGUGCGGCACGUUUAGGCACACGCGCGCGCGAGAGUGAGAACGGGGCCCCUUUCCCUGCAGGUGAACGGAGCUGCAUGCAAUAGUGCACCCG